Molecule: ribosomal RNA, 556 nt
Filed under: Aspergillus flavus
Lineage: Eukaryota; Fungi; Ascomycota; Eurotiomycetes; Eurotiales; Aspergillaceae
Description: eukaryotic LSU rRNA
Rfam family: 5.8S ribosomal RNA (bases 173-326)
Source: RNAcentral
GGUUCCUAGCGAGCCCAACCUCCCACCCGUGUUUACUGUACCUUAGUUGCUUCGGCGGGCCCGCCAUUCAUGGCCGCCGGGGGCUCUCAGCCCCGGGCCCGCGCCCGCCGGAGACACCACGAACUCUGUCUGAUCUAGUGAAGUCUGAGUUGAUUGUAUCGCAAUCAGUUAAAACUUUCAACAAUGGAUCUCUUGGUUCCGGCAUCGAUGAAGAACGCAGCGAAAUGCGAUAACUAGUGUGAAUUGCAGAAUUCCGUGAAUCAUCGAGUCUUUGAACGCACAUUGCGCCCCCUGGUAUUCCGGGGGGCAUGCCUGUCCGAGCGUCAUUGCUGCCCAUCAAGCACGGCUUGUGUGUUGGGUCGUCGUCCCCUCUCCGGGGGGGACGGGCCCCAAAGGCAGCGGCGGCACCGCGUCCGAUCCUCGAGCGUAUGGGGCUUUGUCACCCGCUCUGUAGGCCCGGCCGGCGCUUGCCGAACGCAAAUCAAUCUUUUUCCAGGUUGACCUCGGAUCAGGUAGGGAUACCCGCUGAACUUAAGCAUAUCAAUAAGCGGAGGAA